ACGCCUUCUUUGGCCUUUGCGCCUGCGCGGGUGACCGCGGUUACCCGGGCCGCUCACCACCGUGACACCCCUGCGGGCCGCAAAACGGUUUGGGAAAGCACUUUUUAGGGUGAAGUCAUUUCAGCAAUGAUCUAGAGGGUCCCCAGGACCACCACAUCCCUCUUGCUGGUGAGCAGUGCCUGACUAUUAUCAACAACCAACCCAUAAGCCUUUAUGGACUAACUACCUAUUCCCUGAUUUCUCCUGCUUUACCUAACCCUAACACCAGCCCACCUUUAUUUAUAGCCAAUGUAAAUUUAAAGAACUUACUUUUCUUGAGACCCUUCAGUGCUUUCUCUAGCUAACAUCAAUAAAGCUCAAAAAACCCUUCUAUUUCAGA
Molecule: long non-coding RNA, 379 nt
Organism: Manis pentadactyla (Chinese pangolin)
Lineage: Eukaryota; Metazoa; Chordata; Mammalia; Pholidota; Manidae
Exons: 2
Source: RefSeq, a predicted model, not a curated record